This 428-nucleotide ribosomal RNA is filed under the name Candidatus Brockarchaeota archaeon. Its description in RNAcentral is "bacterial SSU rRNA". It matches the Rfam family "Archaeal small subunit ribosomal RNA", at positions 1 to 403 of the family's 1478-position model. Lineage: Archaea; Thermoproteati; Candidatus Brockarchaeota. The record is from RNAcentral.
AAACCGGUUGAUCCUGCCGGACCUCACUGCUCUCGGGAUGAGACUUAGGCAUGGGUGUCGCGCGGCCUCUAGCCACCGUGAGGCAGCGGCGAACGGCUCAGUAACACGUAGCUAACCUGCCCAAGGGACGGGAACAACCCCGGGAAACUGGGGCUAAUGCCCGAUAGGCGAGAUGCCCUGGAACCGGGCUCUCACCCAAAGGCGGAGGGGACGAUGCAUCUCUCCGUGCCCUUGGAUGGGGCUGCGGCCGAUCAGGUUGUUGGCGGGGUAACGGCCCACCAAGCCUAAAACCGGUACGGGCCCUGGGAGGGGUAGCCCGGAGAUGGGAACUGAGACAAGGUCCUAGGCCCUACGGGGCGCACCAGCUACGAAAAUUCCACAAUGCGCGAAAGCGUGAUGGAGUUAUCCCGAGUGCCACCUGCUGAGGG